RNAcentral lists this long non-coding RNA (1028 nucleotides) under Olea europaea subsp. europaea. Lineage: Eukaryota; Viridiplantae; Streptophyta; Magnoliopsida; Lamiales; Oleaceae. The record is from RNAcentral.
GUUGCAGUAAAAAGCUGCCUUUUAAGGCAGCCAGCUUAAUAUUAGAAAAAGAGAGAGAGAAAACGGGACUGCCCAGCUCGGCUCGGAAAGGCUCGAGCCUAAAAUUUUUAGGAGAGCUCCUGCUCAGGUGGGCUCGGGCCCGGAAAAAGCUCGAUCAUUUUAACCAAGCCGAGCUCGAGUCGGCUCGGCUCGGCUUGUUAACAUCCCUACUGUUGCUUGGUUGAUUGUUGUCCAUAUGGCAUUGAUAUCUUCUGCGCAUACCGACUUCGUUAUAUGAUAAGAUCUCUUCAUUAAUAUUUUCUUGGCAUUACUUGAAUAUUUGUUAUUGCAAGUUGCUUUCUAUAUUUAUCAACUGACGUCACUUGUUCAUUAAAGUAACAAUCUUGGUAGCAUGUCUUUUUUUAAAGGUCAGUAUUGUAUAAGUACCACUUCAUAUUUUUCUAGGUGUUAAUGUUUGGAUUGCAAUUGUUCUGCUGCUUUCUUAUGCUAAUAAACCCAAUUCUAGAAAGUAGUAACAAAAUUAAAAAUGAAUAUUUUUCAUUUAGUAAAUUAUGGAUUGUGAGAUUUUGAAUGUUUAGCUGUUCUAUUUCGAAUUAUUGCUACCACGAAUAAGCAUGAUUCUGUUUAAAUAACUUAUGUGAAGGGAAGCUCAUUUAUAAGGGAGGUACUUUUCAGCUUCUCUGGUAUUCGUUAUUGAAGCUAAAGAAGGAAUUUUGGUUUGUUCUUCCAAGAUACUUUAUUAGAAGCAAUGACCACAGCUCUAAUUCGGCACGAGAACAAAAGUGGGUUUGUUAGAGGGGCUACCGUUGUUUCCAUCGAUGGUGCUAUUUUCUCAAUCGAGGUCUUUACCACUUUUAUGACAAGCAGAUGAAUCUGAGACUGGGAUUAUACUGUAUUUGGCAAGCAAUGGGUUUCACCUGACUAAUCAUUCCAUUUCAGAUUAGUUGUAUGGUCAAAUUGUUGAUUCAAUUGCUUAAUAGAAACUUUUUAUACACAUUCAUCCUUCCAAACGGUAGACUUGUUUGUGG